GCAUCAUUUCGGAUUAAUCCAUUUUGGUUUGCAGAAAAUAUCAUCAAAUGGAAAAUAAUGUACAAAUCAAAAGCAUUCAUAUCCUUGGAAUUAAUGUGUUGUUGAGCCUUCUGCAGCAGUGACUGCUUUAAGAUAAUUGGAAUAGCCCCUAAUAAGCUUUUCACAUGUGUCAAUAGAAAUUUUAGAUCAUUUUUCAAUGUAUAAAUUGUUCCAAUUCACUCAAAUUUUUAAGAGAUUGUGUAUAGCUGUUUUCAGGUGAUAUCAAAAAUUCUCUAUUAGAUUAAAGUUCAGAUUUAAGGCCAUUCUAGAACAUUGAUUUUGUUCGUCAGCUAUUUUUGCAUAGAUUUUUACAAAUGUUUGGGAUCAUUAGGAGAGCUGAACCAACCAAACUUUCAGACAGAGCUGCUGCUAAUCAGUUAAUAUUUUUUGAUAGGCAAAGGAAUUUGUUGUCAUGUAUAUAGAUCAAAUCUCUGGUCCCAUUUACUGAAAAGCAACUCUAUAGGACAAUAUUCCCACUGUGUUUCACAGUAGAGAUGUUUUUUCCUACAAGUAUCUCAUUCUUCUUUCUCCAAAACACGACUUGUGUCAGCAUGACCAAACAAUUUUUUUUUAUUUCAUCACUUUAUAAAUACUUUGCUCCACUUUGCUUCAAAAAUAAUAAUCUUUGUGCUGUUUGGCAAAUCUCAAUCAAUUGUACAUAUGACAUUUGUGAAAGAUUUGUUUGUUCUUGCCCUGUGAUCAGCUACACUAUUGUCAUGCAGUUCAAUUUAUGAUUGACUCAGACAUAUCAGUUCCAACUUUGGAAAAUUCAAUUUUAA
RNAcentral lists this long non-coding RNA (818 nucleotides) under Androctonus crassicauda. Lineage: Eukaryota; Metazoa; Arthropoda; Arachnida; Scorpiones; Buthidae. The record is from RNAcentral.